RNAcentral lists this ribosomal RNA (243 nucleotides) under uncultured bacterium. RNAcentral describes it as "partial 16S ribosomal RNA". It matches the Rfam family "Bacterial small subunit ribosomal RNA", at positions 15 to 240 of the family's 1533-position model. The record is from RNAcentral.
GAUCAUGGCUCAGGAUGGACGCUGGCGGCGUGCUUAACACAUGCAAGUCGAACGAAGCGCUUGAGAUUGAUUCUUCGGAUGAUUUCUCUUGUGACUUAGUGGCGGACGGGUGAGUAACGCGUGGGUAACCUGCCUCACACAGGGGGAUAACAGUUGGAAACGACCGCUAAUACCGCAUAACCCGCUAGGGCCGCAUGGCCCGGACGGAAAAGAUUUAUCGGUGUGAGAUGGACCCGCGUUGGA